GAUGAACGCUGGCGGCGUGCCUAAUACAUGCAAGUCGAGCGAACGGACGAGAAGCUUGCUUCUCUGAUGUUAGCGGCGGACGGGUGAGUAACACGUGGAUAACCUACCUAUAAGACUGGGAUAACUUCGGGAAACCGGAGCUAAUACCGGAUGAUAUUUUGAACCGCAUGGUUCAAAAGUGAAAGACGGUCUUGCUGUCACUUAUAGAUGGAUCCGCGCUGCAUUAGCUAGUUGGUAAGGUAACGGCUUACCAAGGCAACGAUGCAUAGCCGACCUGAGAGGGUGAUCGGCCACACUGGAACUGAGACACGGUCCAGACUCCUACGGGAGGCAGCAGUAGGGAAUCUUCCGCAAUGGGCGAAAGCCUGACGGAGCAACGCCGCGUGAGUGGUGAAGGUCUUCGGAUCGUAAAACUCUGUCAUUAGGGAAGAACAUAUGUGUAAGUAACUGUGCACAUCUUGACGGUACCUAAUCAGAAAGCCACGGCUAACUACGUG
Molecule: ribosomal RNA, 497 nt
Filed under: uncultured bacterium
Lineage: Bacteria
Description: partial 16S ribosomal RNA
Rfam family: Bacterial small subunit ribosomal RNA
Source: RNAcentral